This is a non-coding RNA of Cinara cedri, 342 nucleotides long. Lineage: Eukaryota; Metazoa; Arthropoda; Insecta; Hemiptera; Aphididae. The record is from the annotation of a GenBank genome assembly.
CAAGAAUCAAAUGUAUAUAUAUAUAUAUACUAUUUAAUAUUAUAAUUUAUAACGCUAUACCACUUGAACGUCUAAAACAAAGCAAUACGCAUAUAGGCUGUAGGCAUAGUUGUAGGGCAGAACUAAAGUCGACCAAGUUCCUUCUCCCGUAAAAUUGAAAAAUCAAUCAAAGACUCCUGAUUCCCCCCCGUCUCAUAAAAAAAAAGGCAAUUCUCGGGAAUCUUUUUUUAUUACUCGUAUAAGACUAAAGGAAAUAAUACCAAUAAUUGGGAUGACUGGCAGUUGACAUCAAACUUUCAGAUAUUAGAUUGUAAUAUUAAAUUACAUUUUUACUGAAUUAGG